GUGCCAGCAGCCGCGGUAAUACGAGAGGCCCAAACGUUAUUCGGAAUUACUGGGCUUAAAGAGUUCGUAGGCGGCGCAGAAAGUGGGGUGUGAAAGCCCUCGGCUCAACCGAGGAAUUGCGCUCCAAACUACUGUGCUUGAGGAAGCUAGAGGUGAGCAGAACUGAUGGUGGAGCGGUGAAAUGCGUUGAUAUCAUCAGGAAUACCGGAGGCGAAGGCGGCUCACUGGGGCUUUUCUGACGCUGAGGAACGAAAGCCAGGGUAGCGAACGGGAUUAGAUACCCCAGUAGUCC
This 292-nucleotide ribosomal RNA is filed under the name uncultured bacterium. RNAcentral describes it as "partial 16S ribosomal RNA". It matches the Rfam family "Bacterial small subunit ribosomal RNA", at positions 505 to 796 of the family's 1533-position model. The record is from RNAcentral.